RNAcentral lists this unclassified non-coding RNA (349 nucleotides) under soil metagenome. RNAcentral describes it as "partial contains 5.8S ribosomal RNA, internal transcribed spacer 2, and large subunit ribosomal RNA". The stretch from base 2 to 121 matches the Rfam family "5.8S ribosomal RNA", at positions 35 to 154 of the family's 154-position model. The record is from RNAcentral.
GGAUGAAGAACGCAGCGAAAUGCGAUAAGUAGUGUGAAUUGCAGAAUUCAGUGAAUCAUCGAAUCUUUGAACGCACAUUGCGCCCUUUGGCAUUCCUUAGGGCAUGCCUGUUCGAGCGUCAUUUAACCCCUCAAGCUCAGCUUGGUGUUGGGCGUCCUGUCCCUCUGCCCCCCUCGCGGCGGCGGGGACUCGCCUCAAAUCGAUUGGCGGCCGGUACGUUGGCUUCGAGCGCAGCAGAAACGCGAACUCGGUGCCCGGCGAGCCGGCUCCCACAAGCCACACAUCCUAAGUUUGACCUCGGAUCAGGUAGGGAUACCCGCUGAACUUAAGCAUAUCAAUAAGCGGAGGA